GGGGGUGAAGCUCAGUGGUAGAGUGCAUGCCUAACAUGCAUAAGGUCCUGGGUUCAAUUCCCAGCACCACAU
This 72-nucleotide transfer RNA is filed under the name Marmota marmota marmota (Alpine marmot). It matches the Rfam family "tRNA". From Rfam's summary of the family: Transfer RNA (tRNA) molecules are approximately 80 nucleotides in length. Their secondary structure includes four short double-helical elements and three loops (D, anti-codon, and T loops). Lineage: Eukaryota; Metazoa; Chordata; Mammalia; Rodentia; Sciuridae. The record is from Rfam by way of RNAcentral. RNAcentral also lists the same sequence under 2 other names.